Molecule: long non-coding RNA, 265 nt
Organism: Vollenhovia emeryi
Lineage: Eukaryota; Metazoa; Arthropoda; Insecta; Hymenoptera; Formicidae
Exons: 3
Source: RefSeq, a predicted model, not a curated record
UUGAAAACAUAUCGUCCCCUAAGGACAGUCGCGAUCACUCUUCCAAACAGGUUCCUUCCUUGAUACGGUGUCAGCUGUAAAGUGAAUGUCAUCUGCCUCAACCUGCGAAAAUACGAUACAAUUUUCUGAUGAUGUGGAGUGCUCGCUACUUUUCGACGUUAAUACAACGUACAGCAGAAACUGACCCAUCGAGUUCCAUGAGAUCGGGACGAGUACGCAAGAAAGUGUCGUACAACUCUGGAUUGUCUGAAAGCACGCGAUACGA